GUGUCAGCCGCCGCGGUAAUACAGAGACUGCAAGCGUUGUUCGGAUUCACUGGGCGUAAAGGGUGCGCAGGCGGCCGGGUGUGUCGGGUGUGAAAGCUCGAGGCUUAACCUCGAAACUGCGCCCGAAACUAUCCGGCUAGAGUACUGGAGAGGGAAGCGGAAUUCACGGUGUAGCAGUGAAAUGCGUAGAUAUCGUGAGGAACACCAAUGGCGAAGGCAGCUUCCUGGACAGUUACUGACGCUCAGGCACGAAAGCGUGGGGAGCAAAAGGGAUUAGAUACCCCGGUAGUCC
RNAcentral lists this ribosomal RNA (292 nucleotides) under uncultured bacterium. RNAcentral describes it as "partial 16S ribosomal RNA". It matches the Rfam family "Bacterial small subunit ribosomal RNA", at positions 505 to 796 of the family's 1533-position model. The record is from RNAcentral.